Molecule: ribosomal RNA, 2111 nt
Filed under: Salmonella enterica subsp. enterica serovar Gaminara
Lineage: Bacteria; Pseudomonadati; Pseudomonadota; Gammaproteobacteria; Enterobacterales; Enterobacteriaceae
Description: partial 23S ribosomal RNA
Rfam family: Bacterial large subunit ribosomal RNA
Source: RNAcentral
AGACCCGAAACCCGGUGAUCUAGCCAUGGGCAGGUUGAAGGUUGGGUAACACUAACUGGAGGACCGAACCGACUAAUGUUGAAAAAUUAGCGGAUGACCUGUGGCUGGGGGUGAAAGGCCAAUCAAACCGGGAGAUAGCUGGUUCUCCCCGAAAGCUAUUUAGGUAGCGCCUCGUGAAUUCAUCUCCGGGGGUAGAGCACUGUUUCGGCUAGGGGGCCAUCCCGGCUUACCAACCCGAUGCAAACUGCGAAUACCGGAGAAUGUUAUCACGGGAGACACACGGCGGGUGCUAACGUCCGUCGUGAAGAGGGAAACAACCCAGACCGCCAGCUAAGGUCCCAAAGUCAUGGUUAAGUGGGAAACGAUGUGGGAAGGCCCAGACAGCCAGGAUGUUGGCUUAGAAGCAGCCAUCAUUUAAAGAAAGCGUAAUAGCUCACUGGUCGAGUCGGCCUGCGCGGAAGAUGUAACGGGGCUAAACCAUGCACCGAAGCUGCGGCAGCGACGCUGAUGCGUUGUUGGGUAGGGGAGCGUUCUGUAAGCCUGUGAAGGUGGCCUGUGAGGGUUGCUGGAGGUAUCAGAAGUGCGAAUGCUGACAUAAGUAACGAUAAAGCGGGUGAAAAGCCCGCUCGCCGGAAGACCAAGGGUUCCUGUCCAACGUUAAUCGGGGCAGGGUGAGUCGACCCCUAAGGCGAGGCCGAAAGGCGUAGUCGAUGGGAAACGGGUUAAUAUUCCCGUACUUGGUGUUACUGCGAAGGGGGGACGGAGAAGGCUAUGUUGGCCGGGCGACGGUUGUCCCGGUUUAAGCGUGUAGGUGUGUGUUCCAGGUAAAUCCGGUUCACUUUAACACUGAGGCGUGACGACGAGGCACUACGGUGCUGAAGCAACAAAUGCCCUGCUUCCAGGAAAAGCCUCUAAGCAUCAGGUAACAUCAAAUCGUACCCCAAACCGACACAGGUGGUCAGGUAGAGAAUACCAAGGCGCUUGAGAGAACUCGGGUGAAGGAACUAGGCAAAAUGGUGCCGUAACUUCGGGAGAAGGCACGCUGACAUGUAGGUGAAGUGAUUUACUCAUGGAGCUGAAGUCAGUCGAAGAUACCAGCUGGCUGCAACUGUUUAUUAAAAACACAGCACUGUGCAAACACGAAAGUGGACGUAUACGGUGUGACGCCUGCCCGGUGCCGGAAGGUUAAUUGAUGGGGUCAGCGCAAGCGAAGCUCCUGAUCGAAGCCCCGGUAAACGGCGGCCGUAACUAUAACGGUCCUAAGGUAGCGAAAUUCCUUGUCGGGUAAGUUCCGACCUGCACGAAUGGCGUAAUGAUGGCCAGGCUGUCUCCACCCGAGACUCAGUGAAAUUGAACUCGCUGUGAAGAUGCAGUGUACCCGCGGCAAGACGGAAAGACCCCGUGAACCUUUACUAUAGCUUGACACUGAACAUUGAGCCUUGAUGUGUAGGAUAGGUGGGAGGCUUUGAAGUGUGGACGCCAGUCUGCAUGGAGCCGACCUUGAAAUACCACCCUUUAAUGUUUGAUGUUCUAACGUGGACCCGUAAUCCGGGUUGCGGACAGUGUCUGGUGGGUAGUUUGACUGGGGCGGUCUCCUCCUAAAGAGUAACGGAGGAGCACGAAGGUUGGCUAAUCCUGGUCGGACAUCAGGAGGUUAGUGCAAUGGCAUAAGCCAGCUUGACUGCGAGCGUGACGGCGCGAGCAGGUGCGAAAGCAGGUCAUAGUGAUCCGGUGGUUCUGAAUGGAAGGGCCAUCGCUCAACGGAUAAAAGGUACUCCGGGGAUAACAGGCUGAUACCGCCCAAGAGUUCAUAUCGACGGCGGUGUUUGGCACCUCGAUGUCGGCUCAUCACAUCCUGGGGCUGAAGUAGGUCCCAAGGGUAUGGCUGUUCGCCAUUUAAAGUGGUACGCGAGCUGGGUUUAGAACGUCGUGAGACAGUUCGGUCCCUAUCUGCCGUGGGCGCUGGAGAACUGAGGGGGGCUGCUCCUAGUACGAGAGGACCGGAGUGGACGCAUCACUGGUGUUCGGGUUGUCAUGCCAAUGGCACUGCCCGGUAGCUAAAUGCGGAAGAGAUAAGUGCUGAAAGCAUCUAAGCACGAAACUUGCCCCGA